GACGAACGCUGGCGGCAGGCUUAACACAUGCAAGUCGAGCGGCCCGCCAGGGGUGUGGUGGAGGGGUGGGUAGGGCGUGGGGAUAUUCCCUUUUCUAUGAACUACCCUUGGGAAACUGGGGGUAAUAGGGAACACGCCCUAAUGCGGAAAGAUUGAUCGGCCAGGGUUGAGCCCGCGUGGGAUUUGGGAGUGGGUGGGGUGAUGGCCCACCAAGUCGGCGAGCCAUAGCUGGUAUGAGAGGAUGAUCAGCCACAAUGGGACUGAGACACGGCCCAGACUCCUACGGGAGGCAGCAGUGGGGAGUCUUAGACAAUGGGGGCAACCCUGAUCUAGCCAUGCCGCGUGUGUGAUGAAGGCCUUAGGGUUGUAAUGCUCUCUCAGCUGGGAAGAUAGUGACGGUACCAGCAGAAGAAGCCCCGGCUAACUCCGUG
Molecule: ribosomal RNA, 431 nt
Filed under: uncultured bacterium
Lineage: Bacteria
Description: partial 16S ribosomal RNA
Rfam family: Bacterial small subunit ribosomal RNA
Source: RNAcentral